This 376-nucleotide ribosomal RNA is filed under the name uncultured bacterium. RNAcentral describes it as "bacterial SSU rRNA". It matches the Rfam family "Bacterial small subunit ribosomal RNA", at positions 30 to 407 of the family's 1533-position model. The record is from RNAcentral.
AUUGAACGCUGGCGGCAUGCCUUACACAUGCAAGUCGAACGGCAGCACGGGAGCAAUCCUGGUGGCGAGUGGCGAACGGGUGAGUAAUGUAUCGGAACGUACCUUUCAGUGGGGGAUAACGUAGCGAAAGUUACGCUAAUACCGCAUAUUCUGUGAGCAGGAAAGCAGGGGAUCGCAAGACCUUGCGCUGAUUGAGCGGCCGAUAUCAGAUUAGCUAGUUGGUGAGGUAAAGGCUCACCAAGGCGACGAUCUGUAGCGGGUCUGAGAGGAUGAUCGCCACACUGGAACUGAGACACGGUCCAGACUCCCACGGGAGGCAGCAGUGGGGAAUUUUGGACAAUGGGCGCAAGCCUGAUCCAGCCAUGCCGCGUGAGUG